ACAGACUGAAAAUUGCCGCUGGCGUUCUGGUAGCCUUUGGUGAGAUACCUGUGCCUAAAUAAUAAUGGAGCAUUAAGCUUAUUACCCAUAAUCUCGUGUGUGCGUAAUGAGACCCGUGCUCCUACAUUG
This is a small nucleolar RNA of Xenopus tropicalis (tropical clawed frog), 129 nucleotides long. The record is from Ensembl. Lineage: Eukaryota; Metazoa; Chordata; Amphibia; Anura; Pipidae.